UUAAUGAUAACAUGCCUGUUUCUUAGGUAACACUACAUGCGACGGAGCCCUUAUUGACUUUCAAGGUCUUUGUUUUGCCGAUUCGACCACGGAUGAAGUUCCACGCGAACCGAGUGAUGAUCAGAUCAUAGACCUGACCAACGAACACGAGGAGGAAGUGAUAGAACUUUCAGAUCCCUUGUGGGAGGAGGGGUUCAACGGCGACGCAGCAGAGGUCCUACCGCUAUACGAAAACUGUCUUGGGUGUAACGAUUGUGAGCCCGGCUGUAGCACCUCGCAGCAGAACGGUUGGGAUCGGACAUCUUGGGCUGGCGAGCAUAGCGCGAAUGCUGAUGAUGAGGCGGACUGGUCCAGGUCGCAGAUAAACGCUUGGGAUCAAGCUUCCUGGUCCGGCGACAACGGAUUACCAUCGAGUGGUCAACAGACACCGAACAGUAUCCAACCUUCCGUUGACGAAAAUAACGCAUGGGAUCAAGCCUCCUGGUCCAGCUACAACGGAUUACCGGCUAGUGGUCAACAGACACCGAACAGUAUCCAGCCUUCCGUUGACGAAAAUAACGAUGAAAGCUUAGAACAGGUUGAAAAUCCUCAACUGUUUCAUGAAUUUGACAACAGAAUACUGGCUCGAAUUGAAGAGUUUAAUAACCAGCUUCAUAGCAGAUUAGACACUUUCGACCACCAACUACGGGAGUUAGACA
Molecule: non-coding RNA, 698 nt
Organism: Misgurnus anguillicaudatus (oriental weatherfish)
Lineage: Eukaryota; Metazoa; Chordata; Actinopteri; Cypriniformes; Cobitidae
Source: RefSeq, a predicted model, not a curated record